Molecule: long non-coding RNA, 2316 nt
Filed under: Homo sapiens (human)
Lineage: Eukaryota; Metazoa; Chordata; Mammalia; Primates; Hominidae
Description: HSALNT0152310
Source: RNAcentral
CGCCCCGCCCCGCGCCGCCGCCCCCAACCCCUAGGCUGAGCCGGAGGGAGGGACCCAGAAGGGAGGGAGGCGGAAGGGAGGCCAAAAAGGAGGGGGCCACGUGAAAGAGGCCGGCCGACCGAGACCGAGGGAGACUGAGCGGAGCGCACGCCCUGGAAGGAGAGAGCCGGAGAGUUCGGGAGGCAAGACCCCCAGAGACGAGAGUCGGAGGGAUCAAACGACACAGAAGAGUAUAAGCCCAAGCCGUGGAGUGAACAACCCCAAAGCUACCCUACGCUGAACUCCUCUCUUUGGUCCUGCCACUACUGGUGAAACCACUGACCCUUUCUGGGCCUGUUUCCUUACCUGUCCUGAGGAGAUGCUGACCUUUGGCUCCAGAGAGACUGUGAGAACUCAGUGAGGGGGUCCUGCACUCCGAGGGUCCUGCACCCUGGGAGCCCUUAGGUCUGUUUGGAGAGAAAACAGUUCCUCCAGGCAAGAGGGGAGAAGUGUCCCCAGGAGGUUGGGGGAGGAGCAUCUGCCCUCCUCCUUCUCAGGAAUCACAGGGCCUACCUCCUAGCCCCAUCCACCAUUGCCAGUCAGCGCCUGAUGCACUGGGGGUGUCCUGGGCCACCCGGACUUCCUCUGUGAGCUCCAUGUGGGGCCUCAGUCUUUACCUCAGGUAACUAGGGCUUACCACACCUACAGCCAUGCCCCCCACCCAAGUUGAAGUCCUUUCUCCAGCUCCAGCUGCUGGUGGGGAGGCCUUCAGGCUGGCCCUCAGUCCCUGGCACCUGCCCCAGACUCGGGAGUGGGGGUGGGGGGCAGGUGGGGACUAGGAAGUGGCCCAGAUCCUUUGUCUGUAGGGCCUGGAGUGAGGACAAAGACUACCUUACUCUGGUAAGAUCCCAGUCCCAAGAGCCCACUGUCUCUCCUUCCCAGUUGUUGCAUGACUUUCUGAACUCAGAGUUACCAUUGGGACUGAAAGAAGGUGGCCUCAAUGGCCGCCAGUUGCUUCGGACUCCCUCGGAGAGUGGUGCUGUGAGCCUACAUGGUUCUUUGGAAAGGGUGGAGAGGGGCGCACUAAGAGCAACAGUAUCCCACACUGAGCAGGCCUCCUCCUGAGAGACCAAGAGACCAGGAAGCUGGCCCUGUCGCUGUUGGCCAAGCAGCCACUCUCCUGGGAGGCUGGGGCAGCCCAGUCAGGCUCCCCCUAUCAACGGGUAGACUCAGAGAACCCUCCCUAGAUGAGUGCAAUAGUAUCACUCAAUCCAACCAUCUCCUUUUUCAGAUGGGAAACUGAGGCCCAGCAAGAGGCAGCCCUGGUGCAGGGACUCCAGUGAGUAGGGCUGGUUUACUAUUGCUUCUUGUACAGAGCCAUAUCAAGCUCCUUUUUCCGGCUUCCUCCCUCACCUCCCCCAUCUUAGCAGGGCCCCUGCCCCUUCCUCACCCCCUGGCUUCUGCAUCUCCCUAAGGGCAUAGCCUAGUGGUGGUUUCUCCCCUGAGUAGGCCCAGCUAGCCUCUGUCCCAUCCCCUGUUAUUUGGGCCCUAACAGAAGCUACCCAAAUUUGAACCAUCUCUGCCCCAUGCUCAAGACCUGAGGGUCUCACAUCCUCAAAAUGGGUCCCCAGAUUCCAGAUCCAAGGAUUUGGGGAUCACACUGUUCAUCAGCUGUCACUAAACUUAUUUUACUAUGAGCCAUCCCCCUGGGGUAGCUUCUUGGUCAGCUUGUGGGGAAGGGGGUCAUUUUCAGGAUGGAGGCCUCAUCUCUAGAUUUUGGGGAGUCAAAAGAGUAGUGCAGCCCAGCCCUCACCCCAUUCCACAGGUGUGCACCCCCAGCUCCUUGGACUCUGGCCAGGACCAUUUCCUGCAGCCCCAGGCCAGCCCUGCAGCAUGAGCAGAGGGUGGCUUUGGGAAUGAGGCCCUGAGGGCUGGAAGGAGAAUGCCCAGCGCCUAGGGAACUUUGGGAGACCGCAGCUGGCUCCAGGGGCUGAGAGAGCCAGGGUCCUGCCCCCGGUCGCCCAAAACACCUCCCUUGUAGGUCUGUCCCUGAUCCCCCGGCUCUUGAUAGACACAGCCUCCCCGUCGCCCGACCCCAGGGCAAACCAGCAGAUAAACCCCUUUUAGGCGAAAAUUACACAAAAACGGCGGCGGCGGCGGGGCCUCCUCUGCUCAGGCACUGCCGCGUUGGCGGCCGAAAAAAGAGGGUCCCAGAGAAGGGGAACCCCCUCCCUGUCGAGGACACCGAGGCCCAGAGAGGGGAAGCCUCCUCCCCAGUGGGGUGCAGUCUGGGAUUGCAGUCCCCACCCCAGGGGCGCAGCUGCCAGCCCAACGCCU